ACACGAACCGGACAAACGUUAUUCGGAAUUAUUGGGCUUAAAGGGUGCGUAGGCGGCGCGGUAAGUGAGGUGUGAAAUCCCACGACUCAAUCGUGGAACUGCGCUUCAUACUGCCGCGCUAGAGGGAGACAGAGGUAAGCGGAACUGAUGGUGGAGCGGUGAAAUGCGUUGAUAUUAUCAGGAACACCAGUGGCGAAAGCGGCUUACUGGGUCUCUUCUGACGCUGAGGCACGAAAGCUAGGGUAGCGAACGGGAUUAGAAACCCGAGUAGUCC
This 274-nucleotide ribosomal RNA is filed under the name uncultured bacterium. RNAcentral's name for it is "partial 16S ribosomal RNA". It matches the Rfam family "Bacterial small subunit ribosomal RNA", at positions 523 to 796 of the family's 1533-position model. The record is from RNAcentral.